GCUGGAAGACCCCUGCAGAAUCUCUGGGGUCAGCAGAAUCUCUGCUGGGUCUGUGCCAGGGAGAGGAGGAGGCGGCAGCAGCCACAGGCCACCAAUGUCAGGCGGAUGCAAACAAGCCACCUUGCGAAGUGCUGCCUUUAACCAGCCCAAGAGGAAGCAGAGCAGUUCCCGAAGGGAUUGCAGACGACGGAAGUACAGUACCAUGCAGUUAACAAAAAAAAAUAAUAUUUUAAAAUACAGAAGUAAUUCUAACUCUCUAGUCCUCAAACCCAGCAAGCAGUAGGUCUCCCACGAAGCUCCAGCAAAGCAGAGCUUGCAAAACUCAGCCAGUCGGCUUCGACCACGUGAUCAGGCACAAAAAAAACUCACUUCCGGCUUCCAUCCGAGCCACGUGGCUGCAGAGACCUCUUUUUGGUAGCGGUUUUGCACGUUUAACACGACCUCCCCGCCAAGGAGGACUUCCUGUCCGCCCGCUGCGGUCGUCCCCCGGUGCCUUCGGCUACGGCCGACUUCCUGUCCUGUGGAGGUGGAAGGAGAUGAUGAGGAAUUGGUGAAAAAAACCAACAAAUGUUUCCUGGUUUGGGAGGGCACGGCAAAGGAGCGGAGCUUUGGCGAGGUGAAGUUCAAGCAGUGUCCUACUGAAAACAUGGCACGGGAGCAUUUUAAGAAACACGGCACUGAGCAUUAUUGGGAUCUGGCUCUGAGCGAGUCAGUCCUAGAACCCACAGACUGACGGCCUUUUCUGGAGCCCCUUCUCACAUUUCUGGGCGUUUGACAUAAAGAGCAAGAACCGAGCAGAAACAUUAGACUCUAAGCCCCCCCCCUCCUCAUUCCCACAAAUUCCUCACAGUACAAUGCAUACAAUUAAAGGAAAUAUUUUUCAGAUCCAAAUAACAGGUUUUGAUUUUAAUGUUUGGCUUUGGACUAACAGGACACACGUGUGAGAGAGAUCUUCAACUUCCCCUCUGCCACAAGUACACCUUCACUCAGUCUUGGGGUUUUAUCAUUCCUGCCCUGCAGGAGUGCCAAGGAGAGGAUAUUAAAAUGUCUGGCUCU
This is a long non-coding RNA of Crotalus tigris (Tiger rattlesnake), 1056 nucleotides long. RefSeq lists it as uncharacterized. Lineage: Eukaryota; Metazoa; Chordata; Lepidosauria; Squamata; Viperidae. The transcript has 4 exons. The record is from RefSeq and is a predicted model, not a curated record.